Long non-coding RNA from Herpailurus yagouaroundi (jaguarundi), 660 nucleotides. RefSeq lists it as uncharacterized. The record is from RefSeq and is a predicted model, not a curated record. The transcript is spliced from 2 exons. Lineage: Eukaryota; Metazoa; Chordata; Mammalia; Carnivora; Felidae.
AGUUUUUUUGGAAGAAGCCCAUAACUAUGUCAUGAAGGCACAAAAGAGGCCCUAGGGAAAGAUCCAUAUGAGGAAGAAUUGGUCCAACAGCCAGCCGCGUGAGCCACCUUGGAAGUGGAUCCUUCAAGAUCUGUCCAACAUUCAGUUGAAUACCUCCCCAGCCACUAUCUGAAGUAACCUCAUGGGAUACUCUGUGCCAGAAUUGCCUAGCCGAGCAACAGCAAGAGAAGAAGCCGAAUAUAGUGAUCUGAAGAUGAGAAGUUAUGUGGCAUACUAAGACACGGAGGAGGAUCCCACCCUGACUUGAUGAAAGCGUUUUGGUUUUAGUUCAGUUUUUUGUUUGCUUUAUGAGAAGGAGAUUAAAAAAGAAGACAGGAAGGAAGAAAAUAUCCACCCGUGGUAGCCACACCUGGAAGGUUACGCCAACUAAGGAAAGAUUAUGCCAACAUCAGAUUUUACCAGACACUUGCCUUCGUGACUCCUGCUACAGAUUUCUUGCCAUUCCCCGUGCAGCCAGAGAGGGGUGACUGGACAGUAUGUCAUGUUCUAGCACAUUAAUAUCUGUAAGUGGUAACAGAGCAGUUUAAGAAUGUCUCUUAUGGAUAAUAAUUAGGAAAUACAUAAUAACUAGGAAAUAAAUACAUAAUAACUAGGAAAACA